Molecule: ribosomal RNA, 492 nt
Filed under: uncultured bacterium
Lineage: Bacteria
Description: partial 16S ribosomal RNA
Rfam family: Bacterial small subunit ribosomal RNA
Source: RNAcentral
AGUGAACGCUGGCGGUAGGCCUAACACAUGCAAGUCGAACGGCAGCACAGUAAGAGCUUGCUCUUACGGGUGGCGAGUGGCGGACGUGUGAGGAAUACAUCGGAAUCUACUUUUUCGUGGGGGAUAACGUAGGGAAACUUAAGCUAAUACCGCAUACGACCUAUGGGUGAAAGCAGGGGUUCUUCGGACCUUGCCCGAUUGAAUGAUCCGAUGUCGGAUUAGCUAGUUGGCGGGGUAAAGGCCCACCAAGGCGACGAUCCGUAGCUGGUCUGAGAGGAUGAUCAGCCACACUGGAACUGAGACACGGUCCAGACUCCUACGGGAGGCAGCAGUGGGGAAUAUUGGACAAUGGGCGCAAGCCUGAUCCAGCCAUACCGCGUGGGUGAAGAAGGCCUUCGGGUUGUAAAGCCCUUUUGUUGGGAAAGAAAAGCAGCAGGUUAAUACCCCGCUGUUCUGACGGUACCCAAAGAAUAAGCACCGGCUAACUUCGUG